GGAAGUAAAAGUCGUAACAAGGUCUCCGUUGGUGAACCAGCGGAGGGAUCAUUACUGAGUUUACGCUCUACAACCCUUUGUGAACAUACCUAUAACUGUUGCUUCGGCGGGUAGGGUCUCCGCGACCCUCCCGGCCUCCCGCCUCCGGGCGGGUCGGCGCCCGCCGGAGGAUAACCAAACUCUGAUUUAACGACGUUUCUUCUGAGUGGUACAAGCAAAUAAUCAAAACUUUUAACAACGGAUCUCUUGGUUCUGGCAUCGAUGAAGAACGCAGCGAAAUGCGAUAAGUAAUGUGAAUUGCAGAAUUCAGUGAAUCAUCGAAUCUUUGAACGCACAUUGCGCCCGCCAGCAUUCUGGCGGGCAUGCCUGUUCGAGCGUCAUUUCAACCCUCAAGCUCUGCUUGGUGUUGGGGCCCUACAGCCGAUGUAGGCCCUCAAAGGUAGUGGCGGACCCUCCCGGAGCCUCCUUUGCGUAGUAACUUUACGUCUCGCACUGGGAUCCGGAGGGACUCUUGCCGUAAAACCCCCCAAUUUUCCAAAGGUUGACCUCGGAUCAGGUAGGAAUACCCGCUGAACUUAAGCAUAUCAAUAAGCGGAGGA
Molecule: ribosomal RNA, 599 nt
Filed under: Colletotrichum gloeosporioides
Lineage: Eukaryota; Fungi; Ascomycota; Sordariomycetes; Glomerellales; Glomerellaceae
Description: eukaryotic LSU rRNA
Rfam family: 5.8S ribosomal RNA (bases 227-380)
Source: RNAcentral